AGCUUGGCGGCGGCGUUCACACGAUCUACGUUCAUCGGCAUCACCAUCAUCAUCGACAUCUCCACGGAGGCCGGCAACGCAGAACGAGGACGACCCCGCCACCGAAUCAGGUUCCGGACCAACCGGCGAACAACGCCGGCACGCGUUCACCACUGUUGGAACCGAGGUUGAGAGGCGCCAAACGCUCCUUCGCUUGUAAUCGUCGAAGCGAAGAAUCUCACGUGUAUCAUCCCAACGUCGAGUACGGGAACCGUCUCGAAGCGACUCUCCAAGUCCAAGAUGAGCAGGCGAGUGCGAGAUUCAAGGGUCAGCUCAUCACGAGCGUGACGAAGGAGUACGCUGGGGUUGAUGAAGCCGACAGGAAAGUGUCGUCGAAGACGACGGCGUCGGUGGCGAUUACAAGAAUUCGGGAGCGAUACCUCUACUACCGCUUUCUCAACUACCGCCUCUAUCUCCCCGGAAACAGCUCUUUUUCCAAACAGCAGGCGUGAAGCUUAACGUUCUUUCGCCGUCCAACGGCGUUCGAUUCGGACCGUAGCUGUUGGCAGUUCCAGCAAACAUCCGGUAGCGUCGAUGGAACCAAACAGCGACGGUGGUCUCGAGCAGGUUCAGUCAACAGCCCGACGACGACCAUUUCGAGCCGAAGCGUCGGCGGAUCGAGUUCGACCUUUCACGACCCGACCAAAGUACCUUUAAAUUUCUUUGAGAAUGAACAGGAACGGUGGUUUCAGCACGCCACGAUCGAGGAUGUGAUCAAGGUGCGGAUGGCGGUGGUUAACUCGUCCGGCAUCGACAAGGCGAUGGCCAUGUACGCCGAGAUUCGUCCAAAGCAGUACUACAAGUUAAGGAAUAAGGAAGAUAGCACGGAAAUUGAGAAUUGAAGCAGCGAAAUGAAUCACCGUUGGUUGUUCCGGAGUUCCUACUGCAGGUUCCAAUCUAGGCUAGCCGGAGCUAGCCAAAGUGGCCCGCUUUGGCUGCUGACGCUGAAUGGACUCAGUAUUAAUUAUGCUAAUCCGUCAAGUCAUUGCCAAAGAAAAGUUGCAUGCCCUCUUCAAGAUCUACAACCAUAGAGAGCGGUCAGAUUCUGGUCCCGGUGCAGAAUUAGGUCAUGCAGAUGUCCCAGAAAAAGCAAGAUGACACGCACCACGCCGACAGAACACGGCCUGUUACACUCAUUCAUGCGGGGAUGCACGAGCCGGAGGACAGCGAUGAAGCUCCAUACGAAUCGGUCAAGUAAGAGGAGAUUCAGGUCGAAGGCAUCUAAGCGGCGCCGUACGAGAACUGUUUUUACCGGGCUGUGGUGCUGGAAAAGACCGUCCCAUCGAAGAUCUCGCUCAAGGUUCGCCUGAUCGAUUAUGACAACGAGUUGGUUAAUGCGUCAACGGAGUAGCGACCACCGCUGCAGAUGAUGAAAAUCUUAGAAGAAUCUGCGCGCGUUUCAGGUGGAGAUCGUCAAUUCCCAUCGCCAUCCGCUCGAGGUCAACGAGCGUAUCCGGAUUCGGAUGAAGAACCCUGCGGGAUUGUUAACCGUGAGC
Molecule: long non-coding RNA, 1535 nt
Organism: Culex pipiens pallens (northern house mosquito)
Lineage: Eukaryota; Metazoa; Arthropoda; Insecta; Diptera; Culicidae
Exons: 3
Source: RefSeq, a predicted model, not a curated record